RNAcentral lists this ribosomal RNA (253 nucleotides) under uncultured bacterium. RNAcentral describes it as "partial 16S ribosomal RNA". It matches the Rfam family "Bacterial small subunit ribosomal RNA", at positions 524 to 776 of the family's 1533-position model. The record is from RNAcentral.
UACAGAGGUCUCAAGCGUUGUUCGGAUUCAUUGGGCGUAAAGGGUGCGUAGGCGGCGCGGUAAGUCGGGUGUGAAAUCUUGGAGCUUAACUCCGAAACUGCAUUCGAUACUGCCGUGCUUGAGGACUGGAGAGGAGACUGGAAUUUACGGUGUAGCGGUGAAAUGCGUAGAUAUCGUAAGGAAGACCAGUGGCGAAGGCGGUUCUCUGGACAGUUCCUGACGCUGAGGCACGAAGGCCAGGGGAGCAAACGGG